RNAcentral lists this long non-coding RNA (890 nucleotides) under Malus domestica (apple). Its description in RNAcentral is "long non-coding RNA (MDOM_LNC010692)". The record is from RNAcentral. Lineage: Eukaryota; Viridiplantae; Streptophyta; Magnoliopsida; Rosales; Rosaceae.
AGUGGAUAAAUCCACUAGGGAGGCCGGCCACUUAAUGGGGGAAUGGGAAGUCUCACCCACAUGCUUUAAUUCAAUGCAAAGUAGAAAAAUCAAAAUUUUGCUUGUCACUUAGUUUUGGCAUUUAAAACUUAGGUGAAAAGGUUUGAUGGAAAUCUCCUAGUCAAGUCUAGGGUUUUAUAAGUAUAUAUGAUAUGGUUAUGGAUGGUAUGAACAUCACCCAAAACCACAAAACAAUGCAUUAAAACCAUUUUCAUCAAAAACCAAACUAUGAACACCAAGAACAAAACCAUGAACACUUUUUCAAGAUUUGUGUAUUCUUGGUGAUUUUUCAAACCCAAAAACAAAAGUGACAAGGUUUCUUCUUUCUAGCUUUAAAAGGAUGUGAGAGUGGUUUACAAUAAAACACAAACACAACCCAAAACCACCCCCAAAACCGUGCCAUCCCUUUGGUUCAAAACCCCAAAUUUUGUUCAUGACUUAUUCUUCAUUCAUGCAUCUAAAACACCCUUUUACAUGCAUAUCUUUUUCAACUCUUGAUUUAUAUUUUUCAACCAUUGAAAAACAAAAGAUAAACAUACUUUAAAUGAAGAAAUAAUAUGUCAAACUAGUUCUAAACUCAUUUUUCAUUCAUGCAUACAAAACAUCUUUUGCAUCCAUACCUUUCUCAACUAUUGACUAACAUUUUUCAACUAUUGAAAAACAAAAGAUAAACAUACCUUGAAUGAAACAACAAUAUGUCAUACAUAACAUUAAUACCCAUAUGCAUAAAAUCCAAAAGGACACAUUAUACAUAAACCUUUGGCUCUGAUACCACUUGAAGGGAAAUCUAUGAGAUUCAUGUAUGGGAUUUCUAAAUGACUAUCAUGCAUAUCCAAAACAAUUAUGAUAUA